Molecule: ribosomal RNA, 432 nt
Filed under: uncultured bacterium
Lineage: Bacteria
Description: partial 16S ribosomal RNA
Rfam family: Bacterial small subunit ribosomal RNA
Source: RNAcentral
ACGAACGCUGGCGGCAUGCCUAACACAUGCCAGUCGAACGAGACCUUCGGGUCUAGUGGCGCACGGGUGCGUAACGCGUGGGAACCUGCCCUUAGGUUCGGAAUAACUCCCCGAAAGGGGUGCUAAUACCGGAUAAUGUCUUCGGACCAAAGAUUUAUCGCCUUUGGAUGGGCCCGCGUUGGAUUAGCUAGUUGGUAGGGUAAAAGCCUACCAAGGCGACGAUCCAUAGCUGGUCUGAGAGGAUGAUCAGCCACACUGGGACUGAGACACGGCCCAGACUCCUACGGGAGGCAGGAGUGGAGGAUAUUGGAAAAUGGGCGAAGGGCUGAUGCAGCAAUGCCGCGUGAGUGAUGAAGGCCUUAGGGUUGUAAAGCUCUUUUACCCGGGAUGAUAAUGACAGUACCGGGAGAAUAAGCACCGGCUAACUCCGUG